This 253-nucleotide ribosomal RNA is filed under the name uncultured bacterium. RNAcentral describes it as "partial 16S ribosomal RNA". It matches the Rfam family "Bacterial small subunit ribosomal RNA", at positions 524 to 776 of the family's 1533-position model. The record is from RNAcentral.
UACGGAGGAUCCAAGCGUUAUCCGGAUUUAUUGGGUUUAAAGGGAGCGUAGGCGGCCAAUUAAGUCAGGGGUGAAAGACGGUGGCUCAACCAUCGCAGUGCCUUUGAUACUGAUUGGCUUGAAUGUAGUUGAGGUAGGCGGAAUGUGACAAGUAGCGGUGAAAUGCAUAGAUAUGUCACAGAACACCGAUUGCGAAGGCAGCUUACUAAGCUAUGAUUGACGCUGAGGCUCGAAAGCGUGGGGAUCAAACAGG